GGAUCAAUGGUGAUAUCCCCUUUAUCAUUUUUAUUGUGUCUAUUUGACUCUUGUCUCUUUUCUUCUUUAUUAGUCUGGCUAGCAGUAUACCUAUUUUGUUUAUGUUUCCAAAAUACUAGCUGCUGGAUUCAUUGAUUUUUUUGAAAGGUUUUUUAUAUCUCUAUCUCCUUCAGUCUGCUCUGACCUUAGUUAUUUCUUGUCUUCUGCUAGCUUUUGAAUUUGGUCUUGCUUCCCUAGUUCUUUUAAUUGUGAUGUUAGAGUGUUAAUUUUAAAUCUUUUUUGCUUUCUCCUGUGGGCAUUUAGGGCUGUAAAUUUCCCUAUAAACACUGCUUUAGGUGUGUCCCAGAUUCUGUUAUGUUGUGCCUUUGUUCUCACAGGUUUCAAAAACUUAUUAAUUUCUGCAUUAAUUUCAUUAUUUACCCAGUGGUCAAUCAGGAGCAGGUUGUCCAGUUUCCAUGUAGUUGUGUGGUUUUGAAUGAAUUUCUUAAUCCUGAGUUCUUAUU
Sapajus apella (tufted capuchin) is the source of this 503-nucleotide long non-coding RNA. RefSeq lists it as uncharacterized. NCBI's taxonomy places the organism in Eukaryota, Metazoa, Chordata, Mammalia, Primates, Cebidae. The record is from RefSeq and is a predicted model, not a curated record. The transcript has 3 exons.